This is a long non-coding RNA of Eriocheir sinensis (Chinese mitten crab), 496 nucleotides long. RefSeq lists it as uncharacterized. The record is from RefSeq and is a predicted model, not a curated record. The transcript has 3 exons. NCBI's taxonomy places the organism in Eukaryota, Metazoa, Arthropoda, Malacostraca, Decapoda, Varunidae.
GCGCUCUGACAAGAUCGUUAUUUUCAGCCUUGGAUAUGGCCAGCGCCUUGACAAUGUCGUUAUUUUCAUCCUUGGAAAUGUCCAGCGCUCUGACAAGAUCGUUAUUUUCAUCCUUGGAUAUGGCCAGCGCUUUGAUAAGGUCGUUAUUUUCAUCCUUGGAAAUAUCCAGCGCUCUGACAAGAUCGGUAUUUUCAGCCUUGGAUAUGGCCAGCGCUCUGACAAGAUCGUUAUUUUCAUCCUUGGAAAUGUCCAGCGCUCUGACAAGAUCGUUAUUUUCAUCCUUGGAAAUGUCCAACGCUCUGACAAGAUCGUUAUUUUCAGCCUUGGAGAUUUCCAGCGCUUUGAUAAGGUCGAUACUUUCAUCCUUGGAAAUGUCCAGCGCUCUGACAAGAUCGUUAUUUUCAGCCUUGGAGAUUUCCAGCGCUUUGAUAAGGUCGAUACUUUCAUCCUUGGAAAUGUCCAGCGCUCUGACAAGAUCGUUAUUUUCAGCCUUGGA